This 421-nucleotide ribosomal RNA is filed under the name uncultured bacterium. RNAcentral describes it as "bacterial SSU rRNA". It matches the Rfam family "Bacterial small subunit ribosomal RNA", at positions 357 to 770 of the family's 1533-position model. The record is from RNAcentral.
GGGAAUCUUCGGCAAUGGGCGAAAGCCUGACCGAGCAACGCCGCGUGAAUGAAGAAGGCCUUCGGGUUGUAAAAUUCUGUUAUAAGGGAAGAAAGGUGAUAGGAGGAAAUGGCUAUCAAUUGACGGUACCUUAUGAGAAAGCCACGGCUAACUACGUCCCAGCAGCCGCGGUAAUACGUAGGUGGCAAGCGUUAUCCGGAAUUAUUGGGCGUAAAGCGAGCGCAGGCGGUUUCUUAAGUCUGAUGUGAAAGCCCCCGGCUCAACCGGGGAGGGUCAUUGGAAACUGGGAGACUUGAGUGCAGAAGAGGAGAGUGGAAUUCCAUGUGUAGCGGUGAAAUGCGUAGAUAUAUGGAGGAACACCAGUGGCGAAGGCGGCUCUCUGGUCUGCAACUGACACUGAGGCGCGAAAGCGUGGGGAGCA